Small nucleolar RNA from Hibiscus syriacus, 88 nucleotides. RefSeq annotates it as small nucleolar RNA snoR53Y. NCBI's taxonomy places the organism in Eukaryota, Viridiplantae, Streptophyta, Magnoliopsida, Malvales, Malvaceae. The record is from RefSeq and is a predicted model, not a curated record. The transcript has a single exon.
GUUCCCAAUGAUGCUUGAAAUUUUUAAACCAUGCUAAUGCUGAUAAUCCUGUGAUUAUACAGUGUCCUCGAUUUCUUCUGAGGGAACU